GCGUUUGUGGGCGAGGGGCUGG
This 22-nucleotide unclassified non-coding RNA is filed under the name Chlamydomonas reinhardtii. Its description in RNAcentral is "small RNA Cre_1770". Lineage: Eukaryota; Viridiplantae; Chlorophyta; Chlorophyceae; Chlamydomonadales; Chlamydomonadaceae. The record is from RNAcentral.